CCUACAGGUGGCAGCAGUGAGGAAUAUUGGUCAAUGGGCGGGAGCCUGAACCAGCCAAGCCGCGUGAGGGAAGAAGGUACAGCGUAUCGUAAACCUCUUUUGUCAGGGAACAAAGGCGGGGACUAGUCCCCGGAUGAGGGUACCUGAAGAAAAAGCAUCGGCUAACUCCGUGCCAGCAGCCGCGGUAAUACGGAGGAUGCGAGCGUUAUCCGGAUUUAUUGGGGUUAAAGGGUGCGCAGGCGGCCUGUUAAGUCAGCGGUAAAAGCCCGGGGCUCAACCCCGGCGAGCCGUUGAAACUGGCGGGCUGGAGUGCAGGAGAGGUAAGUGGAAUUCCUGGUGUAGCGGUGAAAUGCGUAGAUAUCAGGAGGAACACCGGUGGCGAAGGCGGCCUGCUGGACUGCAACUGACGUUGAGGCCCGAAAGCGUGGGGAGCAAACAGGAUUAGAUACCCCUGUAGUC
RNAcentral lists this ribosomal RNA (459 nucleotides) under uncultured bacterium. RNAcentral describes it as "partial 16S ribosomal RNA". It matches the Rfam family "Bacterial small subunit ribosomal RNA", at positions 338 to 795 of the family's 1533-position model. The record is from RNAcentral.